UGAUGAUGAUGAUGAUGAUGACGACGAUGAUGAUGAGGUUAAUGUUAUUCUGAUGUUGAUAAUAAUCGUAUCGCCAUUCUCAUCAUUAACUUUAUCG
RNAcentral lists this microRNA precursor (97 nucleotides) under Glossina palpalis gambiensis. RNAcentral describes it as "microRNA mir-598". The record is from RNAcentral. Lineage: Eukaryota; Metazoa; Arthropoda; Insecta; Diptera; Glossinidae.